AUGAAUGUUUCUGAAGCCAUGUCUAAAGAAUUUGCUCAGGUAUUUUGUUGCCAAUUUGGUGACUUCCCUUUUAAAUAUCUUGGAGUGCCUCUGCACUUUAAAAAACUUAAAAGGGAGGAUAUCCAACCAAUAAUUGACAGGAUUAUCAAGAAUAUUGCUGGUUGGUUGGGGAAACAUCUUUCAUAUAGAGGCAAAUUGAUCUUACUCACUACUUGUAUUGCCAGUAUCCCUGCCUAUUUAAUGUCAAUUGUGAAAUUUUCUAAAUGGGCCAUUGAUAUGAUCUCCCAGAUGUCGCAUUUCUUCUGGGGCAAUGUGGGGGAGGUCCAUAAAUAUCAUCUAACCAACUGGAGACUGGUUUCUAGGAGAAAGGAAUUUGGUGGUUUGGGGGUACCCAGCCACAGGGACUUUAAUAUGGCCUUGUUAGCAUCAUGGGGGAGAAGGUUCUAUGAUGAGAUUGUUGUUUUUAAAUAUACUACCAACAAACCUAACAUCUUUUAUGCUAAACCUGUUAUGGGUUCUCCAUUUUGGAAAAGUCUUUCUUGGGCUCUUGCUGCGGCUAAAACAUUUUAUAAAUGGAUCCCUGGAAAUGAAGAAAACAUUGCUUCUGGCAUGGCAUUUGGAUUGGGGAUUGUUCUCUAA
RNAcentral lists this ribosomal RNA (639 nucleotides) under Triticum aestivum (bread wheat). RNAcentral's name for it is "partial small subunit ribosomal RNA". The record is from RNAcentral. Lineage: Eukaryota; Viridiplantae; Streptophyta; Magnoliopsida; Poales; Poaceae.